Molecule: unclassified non-coding RNA, 303 nt
Filed under: Hevea brasiliensis (rubber tree)
Lineage: Eukaryota; Viridiplantae; Streptophyta; Magnoliopsida; Malpighiales; Euphorbiaceae
Source: RNAcentral
GUCAGAAUCUUUUACCACUAGAAUAUGAAUAAAGCAUGGUUACAAAGCACAAUAUAAAACAUCAUUAUUUGGAGAACAAGGUUAGGAGAAGGCUGUUAUAAAUGACAUGCAACAUUCUAACAAAUCAAGAACAAGAGCAGCAACUUGAGUAAACAAAUGCUUUUAUGAUGCACUGUAAGAUGCCAAAUUCUUAAAGUCAUAGGCAAAAAGAUUGAUUCGUAAAAAUUGAAAUACUGAUUACAAAAUGAAAGCUUUACACCAAAACACAUGCAGACAUAAAACUCCAUCUAAACCAUGUACAAG